CCCCGGCUAGCUCAAUUGGUAGAGCGCUCCACCUGUAAUGGAGAGGUCCCGGGUUCGAUACCCGGACCAGGCG
Molecule: transfer RNA, 73 nt
Filed under: Ixodes scapularis (black-legged tick)
Lineage: Eukaryota; Metazoa; Arthropoda; Arachnida; Ixodida; Ixodidae
Rfam family: tRNA
About the family: Transfer RNA (tRNA) molecules are approximately 80 nucleotides in length. Their secondary structure includes four short double-helical elements and three loops (D, anti-codon, and T loops). Further hydrogen bonds mediate the characteristic L-shaped molecular structure. tRNAs have two regions of fundamental functional importance: the anti-codon, which is responsible for specific mRNA codon recognition, and the 3' end, to which the tRNAs corresponding amino acid is attached (by aminoacyl-tRNA synthetases). tRNAs cope with the degeneracy of the genetic code in two manners: having more than one tRNA (with a specific anti-codon) for a particular amino acid; and 'wobble' base-pairing, i.e. permitting non-standard base-pairing at the 3rd anti-codon position.
Source: Rfam by way of RNAcentral